CCCGACUCAGAAUCGUACCUGGAGAGUUUCCAGUACUCUACCAGUUUUGGCUAUGGGAGGGAGAGUCAAGCAGAGGCAUAGCCAUUCCAUUCCUAGCUUGCACAGUGGCUAGUGAGUGGAAAGCAAUCUGCUACAAGU
This is a small nucleolar RNA of Tachyglossus aculeatus (Australian echidna), 138 nucleotides long. NCBI's taxonomy places the organism in Eukaryota, Metazoa, Chordata, Mammalia, Monotremata, Tachyglossidae. The record is from RefSeq and is a predicted model, not a curated record.